UAUACAGCGAAACUGCGAAUGGCUCAUUAUAUAAGUUAUCGUUUAUUUGAUAGUACCUUACUACUUGGAUAACCGUGGUAAUUCUAGAGCUAAUACAUGCUAAAAACCCCGACUUCGGAAGGGGUGUAUUUAUUAGAUACAAAACCAAUGCCCUUCGGGGCUCUUUGGUGAUUCAUGAUAACUAUACGAAUCGCACGGCCUUGCGCCGGCGAUGGUUCAUUCAAAUUUCUUCCCUAUCAACUUUCGAUGUUUGGGUAUUGGCCAAACAUGGUUGCAACGGGUAACGGAGGGUUAGGGCUCGACCCCGGAGAAGGAGCCUGAGAAACGGCUACUACAUCCAAGGAAGGCAGCAGGCGCGCAAAUUACCCAAUCCCGACUCGGGGAGGUAGUGACAAUAAAUACUGAUACAGGGCCCUUUCGGGCCUUGUAAUUGGAAUGAGUACAAUUUAAAUCCCUUAACGAGGAACAAUUGGAGGGCAAGUCUGGUGCCAGCAGCCGCGGUAAUUCCAGCUCCAAUAGCGUAUAU
RNAcentral lists this ribosomal RNA (526 nucleotides) under uncultured eukaryote. RNAcentral describes it as "SSU rRNA". It matches the Rfam family "Eukaryotic small subunit ribosomal RNA", at positions 75 to 604 of the family's 1831-position model. The record is from RNAcentral.